UACGUAGGGUGCGAGCGUUAAUCGGAAUUACUGGGCGUAAAGCGUGCGCAGGCUGUUUUGUAAGACAGAUGUGAAAUCCCCGGGCUUAACCUGGGAACUGCAUUUGUGACUGCAAGACUAGAGUGUGUCAGAGGGGGGUGGAAUUCCACGUGUAGCAGUGAAAUGCGUAGAGAUGUGGAGGAACACCGAUGGCGAAGGCAGCCCCCUGGGAUAACACUGACGCUCAGGCACGAAAGCGUGGGGAGCAAACAGG
This 253-nucleotide ribosomal RNA is filed under the name uncultured bacterium. RNAcentral describes it as "partial 16S ribosomal RNA". It matches the Rfam family "Bacterial small subunit ribosomal RNA", at positions 524 to 776 of the family's 1533-position model. The record is from RNAcentral.